AAUGAACGCUGGCGGCAUGCCUAACACAUGCAAGUCGAACGAAGGCUUCGGCCUUAGUGGCGCACGGGUGCGUAACGCGUGGGAAUCUGCCCUCAGGUUCGGAAUAACAGCGAGAAAUUGCUGCUAAUACCGGAUGAUAUCGCGAGAUCAAAGAUUUAUCGCCUGAGGAUGAGCCCGCGUAGGAUUAGCUAGUUGGUGUGGUAAAGGCGAACCAAGGCGACGAUCCUUAGCUGGUCUGAGAGGAUGAUCAGCCACACUGGGACUGAGACACGGCCCAGACUCCUACGGGAGGCAGCAGUGGGGAAUAUUGGACAAUGGGCGAAAGCCUGAUCCAGCAUGCCGCGUGAGUGAUGAAGGCCUUAGGGUUGUAAAGCUCUUUUACCCGGGAUGAUAAUGACAGUACCGGGAGAAUAAGCUCCGGCUAACUCCGUGCCAGCAGCCGCCGCCG
RNAcentral lists this ribosomal RNA (448 nucleotides) under uncultured bacterium. RNAcentral's name for it is "partial 16S ribosomal RNA". It matches the Rfam family "Bacterial small subunit ribosomal RNA", at positions 29 to 523 of the family's 1533-position model. The record is from RNAcentral.